Canis lupus familiaris (dog) is the source of this 508-nucleotide long non-coding RNA. RefSeq lists it as uncharacterized. The record is from RefSeq and is a predicted model, not a curated record. NCBI's taxonomy places the organism in Eukaryota, Metazoa, Chordata, Mammalia, Carnivora, Canidae. The transcript is spliced from 3 exons.
UUCGCUCAGAAGUCAGAGCACCAGCAAACACCAUCCAGCUGCGACCCUCUGCAUCCUUGGCAGGGAUGGUGGGGACCAAUGGUUCUGAGGGAAAUCUAGACCUGAACAUAAAUCACAGAAAAAUCGAGACUCGAGUGGGAGCUCCGCCGAGUCAGCCUCGUGUCAUGCCUCCCCGUGUGUAUGGGCUGGAUUUACUACCUACUUCUGGUCAACAGAACAUGGUGUUACUUCUGAGACCAGGCUACAAAUGACGAGGCCCACACAGUGAGAAACUGAGGACAGCCUCCAGCCACCAGUCUGCCAGGAACUGAAUCCUGCCAACAACCACAUGAGUGAGCUUGGCCAUGGGUCCUUCCCCAGCCAAGCCUGGAGAUGACCACAGCCUUGGCGACACCUUGAUUAUGGCCUCAUGGGACACCCAGAGCCAGAAGACCCAACUAAACUGUGCCCAGACCAAAAAAAAAAAAAAAUUUUUUUUAAUAAAAUAAAAUAAACUGUGCCCAGACCA